Molecule: ribosomal RNA, 274 nt
Filed under: uncultured bacterium
Lineage: Bacteria
Description: partial 16S ribosomal RNA
Rfam family: Bacterial small subunit ribosomal RNA
Source: RNAcentral
AUACGGAGGGUGCGAGCGUUAAUCGGAAUUACUGGGCGUAAAGCGUACGUAGGCGGCUUGGUCAGUCGGAUGUGAAAGCCCCGGGCUUAACCUGGGAAUUGCACUCGAUACUGCCAGACUAGAGUUUAGUAGAGGAAUGCGGAAUUCCGGGUGUAGCGGUGAAAUGCGUAGAUAUCCGGAGGAACAUCAGUGGCGAAGGCGGCAUUCUGGGCUAAAACUGACGCUGAGGUACGAAAGCGUGGGGAGCAAACAGGAUUAGAAACCCCAGUAGUCC